UUAUGAGUUGUCAAUAGGAAUACUGCAGACGUACUAGGUACAUCCGAGGUCGUUAACGACCAUUUUUUGUUGGACGUACCUGGUACAUCCGCAGUUGCGAAGGGGUUAAACAAAGCUUUAUUUUCAACAACAAAAAUGACUCUUAAAGGGACACUAUAGUCACCAGAUCCACUACAGCUUAAUGUAGUGAUUCUGAUGUCUAUAGCCUGUCCCUGAAGAUUUUUCGAUGUAAACACUGCCUGAAUUUUUCUUAGCAAU
Non-coding RNA from Pelobates cultripes (western spadefoot toad), 258 nucleotides. The record is from the annotation of a GenBank genome assembly. NCBI's taxonomy places the organism in Eukaryota, Metazoa, Chordata, Amphibia, Anura, Pelobatidae.